Molecule: long non-coding RNA, 217 nt
Organism: Zootermopsis nevadensis
Lineage: Eukaryota; Metazoa; Arthropoda; Insecta; Blattodea; Termopsidae
Source: RefSeq, a predicted model, not a curated record
GGAGCGCAUAUCGAAAUCUACUGAACAGAUGGUAACACCAUGGGCAUUUAGGUAUACACCAACAUUACGGGAGAAAUAUAUCUGCUCCAUCUUAGGGGCUGAAGUCAUUUUAAGAACACGAAAGAGCAACAUUGACAAGAAUUGAAGCCGGAAUGAAACGAGGAAAGGAGAACUUUUGCGGCAGUGAAGGUUUCCGUUCAGUGCUAUUUAAAACGUG